AAUGCACCAUCGCAUACAGCAAAACCGGUCAAGGAAACGAUCGAAGCGUUCAGUUGGGAAAUACUUUCGCACGCGGCUUACUCACCAGACUUGGCUCCGUCCAAUUACUAUUUAUUUGCAUUGAUGGGACGCGCACUUUCUGACCAACACUUCACUUCUUACGAAAAUGUACGAAAAUGGCUGGAUGACUGGUUUGCCUCAAAAGAGCAACAGUUUUUUUGGCGUAGCAUCCACCAAUUGUCAGACAGCGGAUUAAAAUCCAAAGUAGGAGCUAUCGUGCACGUGCAGUGACCAGAAAUCAACGCACUGUGACUGUAAUAAUAAUUUGAUCAGUCACUAUACAGUGUUAAAUAUUAUUCUUUUAGUGGCUGUGAUUGUAACCUUAAAACGUCCCAAGUAAGUAAUGUAAGUAAACAGAAUGGUAAAGAAACAUAAUCAUUUCUUGCACUUUAUGUUUACGUAGUAGCUUGUAUGUGCAGAUAUCAUUGCACUUCGUCCCACUCUUUAAAGUGAGAUACAACAAAAAAAAGGAUUAACUAUAAGUGACAUCAUCGAUUAUUGUAAGUACCUAGUGUUUUGUUACCUCCAGAUUCUAUUGAAUAUAUGAAUCAAUAUACGAGUAUUGAUGAUUCUAUUGAUAAUAAGAAGUUUUUAAAGAAAUUAAUUCCCUUAGUUACUAUUACAAACAUUAUUUUAACAAGUGCAGAAAUUCCUCUGUAAAUACUGUUUAGCUUGGUCUGGAAUACGUAUUUGGCCCUUUCCAGCGCCAUCAUGAUAAAUCACAAUGUGCUGUAACAGUUUAUUCAGCCGUCGGUAAUCUUGCAAAGCGUUGCCAAGAUUUAGUGCAAAAUCAUUCGGUACACUGUAAUAUCUUGUUGAGUCGCUAUUGCACCGUAGUCACGACAUUGCUGAUAAGAGCUGUGAUUUGGCUGAUUAGCAGCAACUAAACAUUUUAUGGAUCUGAGAGCACCGCUCAAAUUUGCGAAGAAACUUGGUAACACUGUAUCGAUAGCUUCGAAUAAUAUUAUUGGAUAUUAUUCUAAAUAUCAUCCGGUCAAUUAACAUCUCGCCACCCUGAUAAGGAACUUCCAGGAACAAUAUCCCCUCCAUUAUUUUCAUUGUUCCUGCUUAGUAUUUAGACUCCGACACAGGUCCACUGUCCUUUUCUCUCUUUAUACAUCUAAUAACCUCAACACUUUGUACAAUUUUCUCAAAAUUAUCCAGAGAGAGUAAACCUUUAUUAAUCCUGCGAGCAUAAAUUUAAACAAUUUUUUUGUAGUUUAUUUUCGUUUGUGAAAUUUGUAUAAACAUCGUUCAUAUGUGCAAUUAUUUAUUAAUUAUUUAUGGAGGCAAACGAUUAGAGGAAGCAUUAAUCCUUUCUAUUCAAAAAUUCCAUAAGACAUAGAUAAUUCCAUUUUCGAUAUGCUCUUAUGGAUUUUAAUGAAUAGACAGGUAUAAUGCUUAAUUUAGGAUUUUUUUUACAAAACAUGCUGCUUAGACUGAUCUACUUUUUCGGUUAAUUUUUAAUUGUCACUAACUAAUAAACAAAGCCGAAAACGCAAUUGUUUUAUUCUUGAUUUUUAUCUUAUUACAUAUCUUUUUACAUUUGUAGCCAGACAAUUAUACAGAAAAGAGAUAGAGAUGCAGAUAGAUAAGAGAUUUUCCCUUUAUCUCGUUCAUUGUUCCCAAAUUAAUUUAUUGUUUAUAUUUUCUUUUUUCUACUCAUUUCUUGUUUGAAGCUACUUGAAGAAUUAAUGUGAAUCUUGUUACUACCAAUCAAAGUUCCUCAAAUUUCCCUAAAGGAUCAAUAAUGAUUAAAUCUAAUAUCAAAUUCCAAAAACUUAAUUU
Long non-coding RNA from Bombus terrestris (buff-tailed bumblebee), 1848 nucleotides. RefSeq lists it as uncharacterized. NCBI's taxonomy places the organism in Eukaryota, Metazoa, Arthropoda, Insecta, Hymenoptera, Apidae. The record is from RefSeq and is a predicted model, not a curated record. The transcript has 2 exons.